This is a non-coding RNA of Solea solea (common sole), 622 nucleotides long. NCBI's taxonomy places the organism in Eukaryota, Metazoa, Chordata, Actinopteri, Pleuronectiformes, Soleidae. The record is from the annotation of a RefSeq genome assembly.
ACAAACAGACUCAUUCUUGUGAGUUUGUUUGUUUCACAGUCACAGAGACGUGUGUCUCUACAGUCAGAGGUUUUUGUACGACGCCUCACAGACUUUGUAUCACUGUGGUACACGUUUGGUGGAGGAACCAGACUGGAAGUUGGAAGUGACGUCGGUCCCACCCUGACGGUGCUGCCGCCCUCACGUGAGGAGCUGGACCAGGGGAAGGCCACGCUCAUGUGUCUGGCCAACAAGGGCUUCCCCUCAGCCUGGACUCUGUCCUGGAAGUUGGACGGCAGCAGCAGCAGCAGCAGCAGCUGGGAGCAGAGCAUGAGCCGUGGGCUGCUGGAGAAGGACGGUCUCUACAGCUGGAGCAGCAUCCUGAGGCUUUCUGCUGACCAGUGGAGGAAGGUGGGCUCUGUGACCUGUGAGGCCACCCAGGGCUCCCAGAUUCUCUCAGAGACACUGAGGACAGACCAGUGUUCCUAGUCCUGACCUGACUCACUGACACUCUGCUACUGGUUUUACUCUGCAUUUCUGUCUCUUUUCUCACAAUUUAAAGUUUGAAAACUUCUCGCUCAUGUUGAUCCUGACUCUUUCAACUUUUUCCACAUAAUAAAGUUGUUUGUGUUUCAUUAAAAAA